CAUCCAUCAUUGUCAAACAAGUAGGCGAAUUAAGGAAACAAGUUAUAAGCACUAGCUUAAAGUAAUAAUCCAAUUUCCUUUCCAUAAGGAGUUUUCUGGUUUCAUAUAUAUGCAUAUUUAUGGUAAGAAAAUAAAACCAUUAUUGGUUUUAUACAAUAAUAAUUCUUCAAACAUCAUGUACUUAGAACAAUUUUAGACUUUGCAGUAGGUCGAUUCUCCAUAAAUGUACUCAAGAACUGCGAUGACUCCAAAAACAAAGGUUUGAUCCAUCCAGGUUUCACCACCACAUUACACAAAACCUUGCUUUCCAUCAAUAUCUCCACUUCUUUAUUCACCCCAACCUAUAUAUAAAUGGACCAAACACAUAUUUAUUAUUGUCAUGUUAUAUAUAAUUUACAGAAAAAACCUUAAAACUUGAAAGAUAGCGUACCUGGGCAAUUACUGGGCAAUAUCAGCUACAGCCUCUACUUCUCCCACUGUUUCACCAGUUAGCUGCAAAAGGAACAUUGCAUAAGGGAUGGAGCAGUUUAUAAGAUCAACAAUGUAAAGAAAAGUAAAGAGAAAAGGAGCAACUAAGCAAUUAUGAGAGUUGAAGGGUUGUUUAUUUCAUGCUUUACCUAGCUCUACAGACAUCGAUAAUUUAUAAUCCAAGGGAUUGAAACUAAAAACCAAAAAUAAAACCAACAGAAAAAAAAAUUCUAGCCAAUGAAAGAAAACCUGCAGAGGGAAAAGAUGCUGAGAAAGAUAUCACUUGCAAAAGAAAAAUACAGAGAUACCUAAACCUUGGCCAAAAAAACUUUGAACAGAAUUGAGAUACACUAGGCUUUGAAAUUGGCAAUAAACAUAUAUGAAGACCUUACUGAAAACAAAAGAAACUACAAAACAUAGAAAAUAUAAACUGUGGAGAAUGGGGAUACAUAACUAAAAUAUAUAAUAGAACCAAUGAGGAAAAUGGAGAAAGAAAAUAAAAGAGUAGAACCUGUUUGAUUCAAAUCUAGAAAGGUUAUAUAGAAUGCAGUACUUUCCAUGUAAGCUAAUAUCAUCCAUGUAGAAUGCAGUACUUUCCAUGAUGAGGAAAUUGUACCCAAAAUGCAUUAUUACUUUACACCAAAUUAACUAGGCACAAGGUAGCAAACCUAACAUCCCUAUGUAGCUAACAAUCAAAACAAAAAACUACACCCUAAAAAUGAUGCAGUAGGACUUGCGGUAGCUUCAAAGAACCAACUACACCAACAACUUCUAAAGCAAAAUAAAAGCUAUACUAAUCCAAAAACACUACAACACUACAACCAAACUAUCUAAAUGUAAAAUGCAGCAACCAAAUGAAAAGAGAUAACUUACUAUACCCACACCCUUUCACCAAAAAAACCAGCGAAACCCAAAAAAAAAAAAAGAUGUUGCAGUAAUACCAGUAGGUUUGGGACUCCACAUACUGCCAUUUUUUUCUUCCUUUUUCACUAAUACCAGUUGGGAGAAAUAUUUCUUAGGUUCUCAAUAGCCCAGUGGGUGACACAUUUAAUGUUUUGAAUAAUAUUAGACAUAUAUUGUUCAGAACUAGUUUCCAACAAUUUAAAUUAACUUAGGCAAUAUAUAUAGUCCUAAUCAAAUGUGAAUAAAAUGGUUAUUACAAGUUCCAAACACUUAGGCUUGAAAAUAUUUAGCAGUGGUAAAAUAUAUAGUACCACAAACAAGAAUUAUCCACUUUUUCUUGUUGACCUAGAAAAUUUGAAGACAAAUACAAAGGACAGUAGGCACAUCAAGGUGAAUAUUUAACAAAAUAAAAAUAUUUUAAAAAUUAAUUAUUUACCUAGAACCAACACCUAGUUCCAAUAGCAAUAAAAUCACCAAGACACACUUGAGUUGCAUAAGCCAUAGC
RNAcentral lists this long non-coding RNA (1876 nucleotides) under Phaseolus vulgaris (common bean). Its description in RNAcentral is "long non-coding RNA (PVUL_LNC003097)". Lineage: Eukaryota; Viridiplantae; Streptophyta; Magnoliopsida; Fabales; Fabaceae. The record is from RNAcentral.